RNAcentral lists this ribosomal RNA (253 nucleotides) under uncultured bacterium. Its description in RNAcentral is "partial 16S ribosomal RNA". It matches the Rfam family "Bacterial small subunit ribosomal RNA", at positions 524 to 776 of the family's 1533-position model. The record is from RNAcentral.
UACGAAGGGGGCUAGCGUUGCUCGGAAUCACUGGGCGUAAAGCGCACGUAGGCGGAUCUUUAAGUCAGGGGUGAAAUCCUGGAGCUCAACUCCAGAACUGCCUUUGAUACUGAGGGUCUCGAGUUCGGGAGAGGUGAGUGGAACUGCGAGUGUAGAGGUGAAAUUCGUAGAUAUUCGCAAGAACACCAGUGGCGAAGGCGGCUCACUGGCCCGGUACUGACGCUGAGGUGCGAAAGCGUGGGGAGCAAACAGG